GAUCAUGGCUCAGGAUGAACGCUGGCGGCGUGCUUAACACAUGCAAGUCGAACGAAGCACUUUGAUCGAUUUCUUCGGAUUGAAAUUUUAGUGACUGAGUGGCGGACGGGUGAGUAACGCGUGGGUAACCUGCCUCACACAGGGGGAUAACAGUUGGAAACGGCUGCUAAUACCGCAUAAGCGCACGGUACCGCAUGGUACGGUGUGAAAAACUCCGGUGGUGUGAGAUGGACCCGCGU
RNAcentral lists this ribosomal RNA (239 nucleotides) under uncultured bacterium. RNAcentral describes it as "partial 16S ribosomal RNA". It matches the Rfam family "Bacterial small subunit ribosomal RNA", at positions 15 to 236 of the family's 1533-position model. The record is from RNAcentral.